RNAcentral lists this ribosomal RNA (449 nucleotides) under uncultured bacterium. RNAcentral describes it as "bacterial SSU rRNA". It matches the Rfam family "Bacterial small subunit ribosomal RNA", at positions 355 to 825 of the family's 1533-position model. The record is from RNAcentral.
UGGGGAAUUUUGUGCAAUGGGGGAAACCCUGACACAGCGACACCGCGUGAGCGAAGAAGCCCUUUGGGGUGUAAAGCUCUGUCAACGGGAACGAAAAAAUGACGGUACCCGUGGAGGAAGCAUCGGCUAACUACGUGCCAGCAGCCGCGGUAAGACGUAGGAUGCAAGCGUUAAUCGGAAUUACUGGGCGUAAAGGGUGCGUAGGUGGUUAGUUAAGUUAUCUGUGAAAUCCCUGGGCUCAACCUGGGCAGGUCAGAUAAUACUGAUUAACUCGAGUAUAGGAGAGGGUAGUGGAAUUUCCGGUGUAGCGGUGAAAUGCGUAGAGAUCGGAAGGAACACCAGUGGCGAAGGCGGCUACCUGGCCUAAUACUGACACUGAGGCACGAAAGCGUGGGGAGCAAACGGGAUUAGAUACCCCGGUAGUCCCUGAGCGGGCUGGCAAGGCGCAU